Molecule: ribosomal RNA, 745 nt
Filed under: uncultured Flavobacterium sp.
Lineage: Bacteria; Pseudomonadati; Bacteroidota; Flavobacteriia; Flavobacteriales; Flavobacteriaceae
Description: bacterial SSU rRNA
Rfam family: Bacterial small subunit ribosomal RNA
Source: RNAcentral
GAUGAACGCUAGCGGCAGGCUUAACACAUGCAAGUCGAGGGGUAUAGUUCUUCGGAACUAGAGACCGGCGCACGGGUGCGUAACGCGUAUGCAAUCUACCUUUCACAGAGGGAUAGCCCAGAGAAAUUUGGAUUAAUAUCUCAUAGUAUUACGACUUGGCAUCAAGAUGUAAUUAAAGAUUUAUCGGUGAAAGAUGAGCAUGCGUCCCAUUAGCUAGUUGGUAUGGUAACGGCAUACCAAGGCAACGAUGGGUAGGGGUCCUGAGAGGGAGAUCCCCCACACUGGUACUGAGACACGGACCAGACUCCUACGGGAGGCAGCAGUGAGGAAUAUUGGACAAUGGGCGCAAGCCUGAUCCAGCCAUGCCGCGUGCAGGAUGACUGCCCUAUGGGUUGUAAUCUGCUUUUAUACAGGAAGAAACCCUACCACGUGUGGUAGAUUGACGGUACUGUAGGAAUAAGGAUCGGCUAACUCCGUGCCAGCAGCCGCGGUAAUACGGAGGAUCCAAGCGUUAUCCGGAAUCAUUGGGUUUAAAGGGUCCGUAGGCGGUUUUAUAAGUCAGUGGUGAAAUCUUUCGGCUCAACCGAGAAAUGGCCAUUGAUACUGUAAGACUUGAAUUAUUAUGAAGUAACUAGAAUAUGUAGUGUAGCGGUGAAAUGCUUAGAUAUUACAUGGAAUACCAAUUGCGAAGGCAGGUUACUAAUAAUUGAUUGACGCUGAUGGACGAAAGCGUGGGUAGCGAACA